AGCGAACGCUGGCGGCAGGCUUAACACAUGCAAGUCGAGCGGGCCCUUCGGGGUCAGCGGCAGACGGGUGAGUAACGCGUGGGAACGUGCCCUUCGGUUCGGAAUAACUCAGGGAAACUUGAGCUAAUACCGGAUACGCCCUUAUGGGGAAAGGCUUGCUGCCGAAGGAUCGGCCCGCGUCUGAUUAGCUAGUUGGUGAGGUUAUGGCUCACCAAGGCGACGAUCAGUAGCUGGUCUGAGAGGAUGAUCAGCCACACUGGGACUGAGACACGGCCCAGACUCCUACGGGAGGCAGCAGUGGGGAAUAUUGGACAAUGGGGGCAACCCUGAUCCAGCCAUGCUGCGUGAGUGAUGACGGCCUUAGGGUUGUAAAGCUCUUUUCUCCGGGACGAUAAUGACGGUACCGGAGGAAUAAGCCCCGGCUAACUUCGUG
RNAcentral lists this ribosomal RNA (433 nucleotides) under uncultured bacterium. RNAcentral describes it as "partial 16S ribosomal RNA". It matches the Rfam family "Bacterial small subunit ribosomal RNA", at positions 29 to 507 of the family's 1533-position model. The record is from RNAcentral.